UUCUUCUUAUCUUAGUUUAAAAAGAAUCACGGUUUUGGGGAUCGUUGGUCUCAUAAGAGAGGUUUGAUGAAGAAA
RNAcentral lists this transfer RNA (75 nucleotides) under Grillotia pristiophori. RNAcentral's name for it is "tRNA-Pro". Lineage: Eukaryota; Metazoa; Platyhelminthes; Cestoda; Trypanorhyncha; Lacistorhynchidae. The record is from RNAcentral.